This 9940-nucleotide long non-coding RNA is filed under the name Nicotiana tabacum (common tobacco). RNAcentral describes it as "long non-coding RNA (NTAB_LNC009558)". The record is from RNAcentral. Lineage: Eukaryota; Viridiplantae; Streptophyta; Magnoliopsida; Solanales; Solanaceae.
AGACCUAAAAAUCUGAGCUGCACAAUCAUCAGAAAACGGAGAAGCAGUCGUAGACCAUAAUCACCUCAUCUCCUUUUCUACAUUAAAAAUCCUCUCAUGUAAACCAUGAAAGAUCGAUAAAACACCUUCUUCUACCCCAAAAAAAAAUAGCACCAUAUAGGCCCCCAAAAGCGCACAAAACGAACUGAAAAGGGACUAAUUUUCAGCCCCGAACCAAUGUGAAAUAGCUCCAAAAACCAGCUGAUAAACAUCCCUGAACCCAGCAACAAUAAGCUAAAAAAUAAACCCAAUUACCCCGCGAAAAUCAGCCAAAAAUGACCUCAAAAUAGCUCCAAAAACGAGCUGAAGGAACCCCCAAAAUCCAGCCAUAAACCAUCGACCAAACUGCCUUAUUUUAACCCCAAAAUUCAGUUUUCCUACCUUCAAAAACACCACCAUAAUAAUAGCUAAGGUUUCUUGAGUCGAGUGUAGGUAUUCGGUUCAAAGUCGAGGUUUUGGUUUGAGGUUUUUUCGCAUUUUUUAUUUUGUUGUUGGAUCUCAUAGCUGGGUGGCCAUCGUUUCUAUACAAAAGUAUGCUUGAAUUAUCCUGCUAAAUAAAGUUUGACCGAGGCGCGUCCAAAGGUUCAUUUCUCUAUUUACUAUUUCAAUAGUAUUAAGUUUGCUUUAGCUCGUAACUGUUUAACUAAAUGCUUGAAUUGUUUCUCUAUUUGAUUUCUUGUAGAUUUUCCUGUUUUGCUUUGCUUAUUUCAUCUAUGCUUAGUGUAAUUAUUUUGUGUGUCCUAUUUGUGCUUCAAGGAUCGGUAGGCAUGUUCAUUUACUAUGUCUUCUACCUUCCUCACGGAAAUUGUAAGGUUUAAUUGAAUCAUGAAAAUUAAUGAUGAUUGAGUCACAUGGAUGAAAAAUCAAGUGAACCAUCUCAGUGACUAGAUUGGUUAAUAGUGUUGAAGAUAAUUUAUUAGGACUUCUUUAAAGGUUUAAAUGCAUAUAUUUAUUUUACAUGUUCAGGUGGCUAAUAUCUUAUUGUUUGAAUUAUUGGAUCAACGUUUGUGGCAGUGAGUUUGCUCGUCAACUAUCGAUUCUCCCAAAAUAAUCCCAAGUAUUGAAUAUUUGUAAUAUAUUAAGUUGAAACCUUUUAAUAAGAUCAAAGUAUAGGUUAUGCUUUAAUGAUAAUGAUAGCCAAAUUAACCCCUUUUCCAUAAAUAAUUUCAUAAUUAUAGAUCUCUCAAUACAUGAUGUCAUACUUAGAAAGAAACAAUCCCGAGUGCCGUAGUUGCUUUAGGCGCGUAAUUUAAAUUAACUUCCUUAAACUCGGGUGUGCAUUUCAUGUGACCCAAAUCCAAUUCUCAACAAUGUUAAGUAAGAUGUGUCGCGGACUGUGGGUGCAUUUCAUGUGGCGUGGUUCAAGAUGUGUUUUACAUAACGUUGAAUCUUUCUUAAAAUAAUUAAAAGCGGUUUAAUAAGUUAAAAUGUACCAUAGGCUAAAACAUGUAUUAAAAUUAGAUAAUAGGCCAAUUAUAAUAGUUUAAGCGACCGUGCUAGAACCACGGAAUCCGGAAAUGCCUAACACCUUCUCUCGGGUUAACAGAAUUCCUUAUUCAGAAUUUCUGGUUCGCAGACUUCAAAAGGAAAGUCGAAAUUUCCUCGAUUUGGGAUUUAAAAUAAACUAGUGACUUAGGACACCAAAUAAACUAUCCCAAGUGGCGACUCUAAAAUAAAUAAUUAAUCCCAUUUUGAAUAAUCUCACUUAAAUUGGAAAAACUCUCUUAUAUCCCCUCUCGGGUGUAAAAAAAGGAGGUGUGAUAGAUGUUAUAUAAGUAAACUGGAUCUUGAGAUUCAGAUCGUAUAUCGCACCUUAGUUGUGCUUAACUUUUGUAACUUAUAGCGCUAUUUGUCCCCUCGGGGAUGGUACUAUGCACUUAGCGUGCUUGUGAUCAAUAUUCGGUAUUUUGUUGUAAUGAGCAAUUUAGCUCGAUGUGCAUCUCCUUAGGUGAGUGUUAUAUGUGGAUCGGGUGGCACGCCACCAUGGGUAUGUUAUUUGGAUCGGGUUGCGCGCCGCAAUAGUGUGAUGGUGAAUACAGUUUUGAUACUUCAUCUUAUGUGUGUUUGUUUCUCAUUUUCCGAGGAAAGUUCAUAUUAGUCGCGCGAGUUGAGUAGUUCCUUCUAGAUUUUGUUUCCCUUUGUAUCCCGUUCGAAUUGGUGGCCUGUUAGCACAUUGUGACAUCAUAUGAGACUUUUGAUCAUGUUCAGGGUAGCUUAUUGCCUGAGCAGUCCGUACUGGGUGAGAUGCGAUCAUUGGAUUUAGGAUCAGUGCAAUCUGAUUAUAUGAAGUAUAUUAAGGAACUAAGACCAUUAUUUGGUUCAGAAUGAGGUAAUGGUUCUUUCAGGAGUAUAGACCCAAUGAUUUGUUGAUUCAACAAUCGGUUAUGAAUUUCUACACAUCUCUUCCGUCGUGGUGGUAUUGUAAGAGUUAGAGAAAGACCUAUGUAGGUCAUGAGGUGCAAUGGGAGCAUCAGAUUCGUGGAAUUUCGAUUAAUUUGAUCAGAGAAUGUUAUUGUGGUCCUGUGAGUAAAGUGGUGCAAGUUGUGAAUUCAGCUAAGGUAUGCAGUCGUGUUUUGGUGUUGCGUGUAGUUAUUGAUACAAUGACCGUAUGUUGGAGCAGGCCUGGCAGAGAAUUCUAGAUGAUGGAAUUAGGCUCUAAAGCUUAUUUGCUUAAGUGAAAAAGGAUAUCUUUAGAGAUCUAGGGUGCCCAGCUGAGUUGUGGUAGCACGGGUAGGUGCUCGAGGUGUUAAACAGUGAUUUCGAACAACCCCAACACAGUUCUUAGCACGUUCGAGGACGAACGUAUGUUUAUGUGGGAGAGAAUGUCACGACCCGAUGGGUCGUUUUGAGCUUUAGCACGACGUUCAGCAGUUUGAGGCCAUGAGCAGCUUCACUUCAGGUAUUAUGACUUGUGCGCACAGUCGGAAUUGAAUUUCUGGGAAGUUCGAGUUGAUUUGGAAAGAGAAUUCUCAUUUCGGAAGCUUUAAGUUGAAAGAAUUAGCUAAGAUUGGAUUUUUGAGUAAAUGACCUCGGAAUCGGGAUUUGAAGGUUCUAGUAGGUUCGUAUGAUGAUUUCGGGCUUGGGCGUAUGUCCGGAUCGGGUUUUGGAUGACCCGGGAGCGAUUUGGCGCCUAUUGUGGAAGUUAGCAUUUUGGAAGAAAUUUCAUAAGUUUGGAUUGAAGUAAAUUUUGGUGUAAUCGAUAUCAGUUUGGGAUUCCGAGUCUAGGAGUAGCUCCGUAUGGUGAUUCUAGAGUUGGGAGCGCGAUCGGAAGUGAAUUCGGAGGUCCGUGGGUCAUUUUGGAGUCAUUUGGCUAAAGAUAGAAAUUUGAAGGUGUUUGAGGAGUUGGACCGGAAGUGGACUUUUUGAUAUCGGGGUCGGAAUCCGAUUCUGAAAGUUGGAGUAGGUCCGUAGUGUCGAAUAUGACUUGUGUACAAAAUUUGAAGUCAAUCGAACGUGAUUUGAUAUGUUUAAACAUCGAAAGUAGAAGUUUGAAAUUCUAAAGUUCAUAAAGCUUGGAUUGGAGGUCGAUUCGUGGUUUUAGCAUGGUUUUAUAUGAUUUGAGGCCUCAAGCAAGUCCGUAAUGUAUUUUGGGACUGAUUGGUAUGAUUGGUUGGGGUCCCGGGGGCCUCGAGUGGAUUCCGAGUGGUUAAUAGAACGAAAAUAGAAUUUGGAGAAGUGUUGAAGCAUCUGCUUCUGUCGUAACCGCACCUGCGGUUGGUCGACCGCAGGUGCGAGACUGCAUAAGAGGUCAUAGCCUUGUAGAUGCGGCCCAGAGCUGGCCAGGCCAAAUCGCAGAAGCGGCUCCUUCGCUGCACCGACUUCACAGAUGCGGCUUCAAGACCGUAAAAGCUGUCCCAGCCCUUUUAGCCAAUUCUGCAGAUGCGGCCUCCCUUCGCCAUUUAAUUCGAGCCCCAGCCAUUUUUGACCAUUUGGCACUCGGGUNNNNNNNNNNNNNNNNNNNNNNNNNNNNNNNNNNNNNNNNNNNNNNNNNNNNNNNNNNNNNNNNNNNNNNNNNNNNNNNNNNNNNNNNNNNNNNNNNNNNNNNNNNNNNNNNNNNNNNNNNNNNNNNNNNNNNNNNNNNNNNNNNNNNNNNNNNNNNNNNNNNNNNNNNNNNNNNNNNNNNNNNNNNNNNNNNNNNNNNNNNNNNNNNNNNNNNNNNNNNNNNNNNNNNNNNNNNNNNNNNNNNNNNNNNNNNNNNNNNNNNNNNNNNNNNNNNNNNNNNNNNNNNNNNNNNNNNNNNNNNNNNNNNNNNNNNNNNNNNNNNNNNNNNNNNNNNNNNNNNNNNNNNNNNNNNNNNNNNNNNNNNNNNNNNNNNNNNNNNNNNNNNNNNNNNNNNNNNNNNNNNNNNNNNNNNNNNNNNNUCCCCCUUAUUUCUAAGUUUAACACUCGAGUUUUGGGUAGAUUAACACCUAAAGAUUUGAAGAAAUCAAGGGUUAGAGAUAGACUUAGGGUUUUAAUAGAACUUAGAUUUUACCAUGAAAUUCGUUAUGACAUGGAUUAAAAAUCAUAUAUUAUUAAUCCUUAAGUUAUAGAGAACAACUUCCUUCGGAAAAUUUCGGAAUCCGAGCACGUGGGCCUAGGGAAUGAAUUUUAGGAACCUUGCACUUAGGGUUGAAAAAUUGGUUUAGUAAUUAGAAUAUGAACUUUUGAGCAUGUAUUGACUAGUUCUUACCCUAUUUGAAUAGUUUUGGAUCAUUUGGUGCCAAAUUGAAGGUUUGAGCGCGUUCUUGAAUUGGAAUAUAGGUUUUGGAGCGAGGUGAGUCUCUUUAUUAACCUUGUAAGAGGGAAUUGUCCCCAUAGUUGAAAUAAUUGGUUAUGUGCUCCUAUUUGUGGGGGCUACGUACGCACAAGGUGACGAGAGUCCGAGCUACUAUUAUGCUAUUGUCCGAGUAGUCUAGGACUCAAAAGCAUGCUAUACUUGGAAUAUCUGUAACCUUAUUGGCAGUUGAUUGCUUAAAUCCUAUCGAACUGGUAAAUGGAAUUCUAAAAAGAAUUAAAUUUCAUUUUUCUAAAUUGUUAAAAGAGAAUUGGUUUUCUUUGGAUAAUUGUUUCCUGAUGACUUCUUGAUUGAUUAUUUGUGCGUGUUUAAAUUCUAGAACGGGCCGAACGCCUCGGCAGAUUAAAUAGAUGCAUCUAUGGUUCACACCAUUCGACCCUCUGGCAGUGCACAGUUUAAAUAUUAUUGGAUCGGGUCGUACGUCCUCGGCAUGAUUUGUGCAUGCUUGUAUUGCUUGCUUGAAAAUUUAUUGAUAUUGAUAUUUGCUCUCCCCGACUUGAGAAAAGUGUUAGUUAAUAGAUUAUGAAUCCGGAGACUUUUAAUAUAAAAAGGAACUUUUACCUGUUCGUGACUUAUUUGAAAUUACUGUUGUUCUUAAUAAAUACAUGACUACUCGCAUUAAAAAUAUAUUACUAUUGGACUACUACUUUUUCGAGAUUAGACGGGAUACUCAUUGGGUACACGUUGUUUUCGUACUCAUACUACACUUCUGUGCAUUUUUAUUGCACAGGCACAUGCAUCUCUAGUGGCUUAGUGAGCGUAGUAGCAUGGUUGAUACGGAGACUUAGGUGAGCUGCAUUUCCCAAGAUGACCCGCGGCCAGUGAGUCUUUUUCAGAUUACUGUAUUUAUUUUCUGUCCAAUAUUGUAUUCCGAACGGUUGUUGUAUUACAUUAUUUCAUAGAAAUUGCUCAUGCACUUGUGACACCGGGUUCUGGGAUGUCUAUGGGUUUAUUCAGAAAUUUUAAAAGUUGUUAAAUGUUUCAUUAUUUAUUCAGAGAAAUUUACUAUGUACUGUUUAAAAGUAUAAAAGAAGUGAUUUCGAAAAUAUUAAAAAAUGAGAAUCUAAUUAAGUAUUUUGGUUGGCUUGCCUGACAGCGGUAUCCGGCGCCAUCAUGACCCUUAGUGGAUUUUGGGUCGUGACAUUAAAAAUUUGUUUUUUGUUUUUAUGGUACGGUAAAAUUUGUAAGGUAAAAAGGUAAGGAUUUUUGCGGUAAAAAAUAUUUUUUGUGAUUAAAAACUUAUGUUGUAAAAUCCUACUAGGUAUUCUCUCUCUCUUAUUCUAUAGACCUGUAUUGUUAUAGUAUUAUUUAAUUAUGAACUGAAAUUACCCCUUCUAUACUUUUUUUCUUUUUUUUCACUUCACUCUAUUCAUCUCUUCUUCCCAAUCUUUUAAAGAAAUAAAUCUAUUCUUAACUCUUUUUUCUUUAACCGCACCAUGGCCACGGUUAAACACAUAUACCCAUUAUUGGUUAUUUUUGGGUUUAACUUAACCGGUUUCUCCUAGAGGCUAAUCCAUCAAAAUUGUUAAGAGAUUGGAAAGAUAACCAUAUACUAAGAGUGAUGUCUGGUUAAUUACAAACUAAUUAAUUAAAGGAUAAUAAACAUAAAGCUAUAAUAACAUAAAACUGUAAAAAUAUGGGUAAUAUCUAGAAACAUAAUUUAGAUAAAGAUAAGUAACUUACAUGUUUACAGGAGAGAGAUUUCCCUUUCGGGAAACCCCGAAAGAGUUUACUAGACUUGGGAAUUAAAAACAAACACACAUAAGCCUAAGGAUUUAUUUAUUUUACAGGCUUGAAGGAGGAACUACUAAGGCAUACAUAAGGAAAUAUUUUACAAAGGUAUAAUACAAAGUGUUUGGAGAAUGGUUGGUGAUGGAGGAGGGUGUUUUGAUGAUUUUCUUCAGAGUGUUCUCUCUUGUACUUGUGUCUUUCUUUUCUUAUUUUUUUCCCCUUUUUAUAGCUAAGUUUUUUAAACAAAUUUGAAAAAUGGACUUCAAAUAUUUUCAGAAAUCUUUCUUGUCUAGCUUUGUAGGGUACUUCAUUGGGCCCCUGUAACACCUCAGAAUUUUUUUGAAGUACUUAAGCUAUUAAGAAAGUUGAUGUGCGCUAAUUAUAUUAUUUUGUGCGCAAAGACGGAUUAUUAAUAUGAUGGAUAUCAAUUGGAUAUGAUAAUAAGCGUACGAAGUAUAUUAUAAGUGAUUUGGGGACUAAGGAGAAGCCUAAGUCUAAGCCAAGUUGGAAAAUUUCAAGAUAGGCUAAAAUUUUAAAUGAGCAAGCACAAGAUCACACUUUGGACGAGCACAUCUACAUAUAUAUAAGGUGUUAUGUGAUGAACAACCUAUCAAAUUAAAGGUGUUUGAGUCUAGUUUCUAAUGCUUCAAACUGUUCAUCAUUUGGACAUUUGUACAAAACGCUAUGAUGGAUUUACUGAAGGCGAGUAAUGCUAUGUUCUGGGGCAGAGGCAAAUCGCAGUUACCCAAUGCGAUUUAUAAAUCGUAUUUGACACCUGCGACUUACCUGGACAGAUUACAAAACACGAGUUUCAGCCAUUUUUAACACAUUUGGAGCUAUGGAGCUCGGAUUGAAGCAUUUUGAGGCGAUUUUCACCAUAUGGAUUGGGGUAAGUGAUUCUAACUCAAUUUUGGUUAAAAUACAUGAAUCUAUUGUUGUUUUUAUCAUGAAAUUAGUGAAUUGAGUUGAAAAUGGUAGAAAUUCUCUAUACCUUAGAUUUAAGAUUUGGAGGUCGAUUUGUUGUUGGAAUUUAGUAAUUUUGGUAUGGUUGGACUCGUGGUUGAAUGGGCGUUCAUAUUUUGUGACUUUCGUCGGAUUCCGAGACGUGGGCCCCACGGGCGAUUUUUUAUCUAAUUUCAAAUUUUAUUGGAAAAUUUGGUAUUUUCACAUGGGAUUGAUUCCAAUAAUCUGUGUUGAUUGUAUUGAAUUAUUUUUGGCUAGAUUCGAACCAUUCAGAGUUGGAUAAUCGAGGAAAAAUGUCAAUUAUUGGGUUGAGAUAGCGUGAUUUNNNNNNNNNNNNNNNNNNNNNNNNNAUAUUGAGGCAAAGUGUUAAAUUGUGAAAUAUUAUUUUGUUGAGUUUUCACUCCCAGAUAUUUUGUUAGAAUUUUUGUGCGCAUUAUGACCGAGCCGUGGGCUUCUUAUUGUGGAAAAAUAAUGUAUUGUUGAUUCCUGUGACAAGUUGUAAUAUUUGGGCACCUGAUGUGCAAUAUGUGAUAUGUUGUAAUAUUGGAGCACUUGACGUGAAAUUUGUGAUAUGUUGUAGGAUUUGAGUACUAGAUGUGAAAUUUAUGAUAUGUUGUAAUAUUGGAGCACAUGACGUGAAAUUUGUGAUAUGCUGUAAGAUUUGAGCACUUGAUGUGCAAUUUGUGAUAUGCUUUGAUAUGUGAUUACUUGAGGUGCAAGUUGUAUUAUGUUGCGAUAAUUGGGCACUUGAGGUGCAAGUUGUAUUAUGUUGUGAUAUUUGGGCACUUGAGGUGCGAUUUGUGAAAUAUUGUAAUAUUGAUACGCAUGCGGUGAUAUAAGGUUAGGGUGUUGAAACGCAUGCGGUGAGAUAAGGAUGAAUUGAAACGUGUGGCUAGUAGGGGAACUACUAGAAGUCAUGCGGUGUGAUAAAGGUGGCUAAAACGCGGGAUGCUAUUUUUGGGAAAAUUGUUUUAUUUAAAAUUAUAUGUGAAGGCUCCCGCGGUGAUAUAAGAAAAUGAGAUAUUGUGAAUUUAUUUAUGAUUUAGGACUACGAGGCGGUACCUCGGUAGUGCCCUGUUGAUAUAUCUUUACUUAUGUUCUUGUCUUUGGUGAUUUUAUUUCAUUAAUAUGUAAAUUCUUAUCUUCUUCCGUGAUGUACUAGUUGACAUUAUUAUUAUUAUUAUGUGUUUUGUGCUCCUUGUUGCAUUGUGUUCGCUUUGACUUUUUAGUACGAGACUUUGAAGAUUUAUAUUUUUGGUUUUUAGCGAUUUUAAAUGAUUGAGUUGUUUUAAAUAAAAGAAAUUACUAUUAUGUUUUAAAUUAAUAAGUUUUACAUCCAAAUCAAUAGUUUAUAUGAUGCUUUAAUUUAAGUGCAAUGUCAUUUUCUUCAUUCAAACUAUCUGUAAAGUAAAUUGGUCGUGCAUAUUUUUUAUAUAUUGAUAUUUUUGGCAUGUGAGUUGUCCGUGCAGUUGUGAUAGAAAUAUGGGCACGAGGUGUCGUGGAAAUAUGAAAGUGGGGUGAUGCUCGUAUUACGAAAAAUAUGAAGGUGGGCUGAGACCCGUAUUUUUAUGAUUGUGAAAUGAGGUGUCACAAUGUGACUUUUAUUUGAAAGAAUUAUAUUCAAAAUAUUAUUUCAAAGAAUUAGAUUUGAAGAAUAUUUAUUUGAAGGAAGUAUAUUCGAAAUAUAUUUAUUGGUAAGUAUUAUAUUCUAAAGAUUAUUAUUUGGAAAACUUUUAAAUGAAAGAUGUGUAAUUGAAGGACUUGAUUAAAUGGUUGUACUUGUAAUCAUAGUUUGUUGAGCGAUAUUUAUGGUGCUCCUGUUGUCCUGUUGUUUAUAUCACUAGUUGAUAAUUGUUGGUAUCAUUGCUAUUUGUUUCCUAUUAUUGUGGUAUGCUAUAUUGCACAGGUUAUUAGAUGUGUCUUGACUGUACCUCGUCACUACUCCACCGAGGUUAGUCUUGAUACCUACUGGGUACCGCUGUGGUGUACUCAUACUACACUUCUGUACAUUUUUUUAUGUACAGAGCCAGGUAUUGGAGAUAUAGGCCUCGGAAAGAGUUAGAGAGUGAUCGCAAGGAUUCAAGGUAGAGCUGCUUGGUCGUCGUAGUCCCUUGGAGUCUUUCCCUUUUAUCGUACUAUCAUAUAUUAUUCGAGCAGUAUUGUAUAUUUAAUUUCCUUCAGAUCAUUUCAUGUAUUCAGUUAGAGUUCGUGACUCAGUACUACCAGUAUUGGGAGGUUGUAUCUUUAUUUUUGUUGUUGGUUUCGAUUAUCUAUUUAAAAAACAAAAAUGGCUUGAAUUGUUAUUAUAAUCGGCUUACUUAGUCUUAGAUACUAAGUGCCAUCACGACUCAUAUGGUGGGAUUUUGGGUUGUGACAGCCCCAUCUUCACAUGGCUUGGGCAGAGAUUCCCUUAGUGUUUGUAACUUUUUC